CGAGUGGCGAACGGGUGAGUAACACGUGAGUAACCUGCCCCCGACGAGCGGGAUAGCCCUGGGAAACUGGGAUUAAUACCGCAUAGUAUCGAAAGAAUUAAAGCAGCAAUGCGCUUGGGGAGUGGGCUCGCGGCCUAUUAGUUAGUUGGUGAGGUAACGGCUCACCAAGGCGAUGACGGGUAGCCGGUCUGAGAGGAUGUCCGGCUACACUGGAACUGAGACACGGUCCAGACUCCUACGGGAGGCAGCAUG
This 252-nucleotide ribosomal RNA is filed under the name uncultured bacterium. RNAcentral describes it as "partial 16S ribosomal RNA". It matches the Rfam family "Bacterial small subunit ribosomal RNA", at positions 92 to 353 of the family's 1533-position model. The record is from RNAcentral.